AACGAACGCUGGCGGCAUGCCUAACACAUGCAAGUCGAACGAGGUCUUCGGGUCUAGUGGCGCACGGGUACGUAACGCGUGGGAAUCCGCCCUUUGGUUCGGAAUAACAGUUGGAAACGACUGCUAAUACCGGAUGAUGACGAAAGUCCAAAGAUUUAUCGCCAGAGGAUGAGCCCGCGUAGGAUUAGCUAGUUGGUGUGGUAAAGGCGCACCAAGGCGACGAUCCUUAGCUGGUCUGAGAGGAUGAUCAGCCACACUGGGACUGAGACACGGCCCAGACUCCUACGGGAGGCAGCAGUGGGGAAUAUUGGACAAUGGGCGAAAGCCUGAUCCAGCAAUGCCGCGUGAGUGAUGAAGGCCUUAGGGUUGUAAAGCUCUUUUACCCGGGAUGAUAAUGACAGUACCGGGAGAAUAAGCUCCGGCUAACUCCGUGCCAGCCGCCGCCGUAA
RNAcentral lists this ribosomal RNA (449 nucleotides) under uncultured bacterium. Its description in RNAcentral is "partial 16S ribosomal RNA". It matches the Rfam family "Bacterial small subunit ribosomal RNA", at positions 29 to 523 of the family's 1533-position model. The record is from RNAcentral.